GAAGCAUCUGUGUGAGAGAGAGAACCCAUUUUUGUUUCAUCUCUUUUUUUCUGUUUCAUUUCUAUUCCAUAUCAAGUCUGCUAAUUUGAAUUCGCAUAAGCAACAACGAGUGUUCUUGGUUUCUGCAGAAGAGAAUGGAGACUGAAUCAAGGAAUGAAUCAACCAUUGACAAACCUAAUAUCCAGUUGGUAUUCUGAUUUCAUUUGAAGCAGCGACAUCAAUGGAUUCAGGGGUUUCUGAAUCUCAAUAGAAGUUCAUGAGAGAGUGGUGGAUCAGCUAAAUUAGAAGUGUAUCCAAUUUUAGGUUAGCAAUCAAUUUGAUUAUGUUUGAAGAAUAUAUUCGGUUGGUAAAUCAUGAAUUUGAAUUAGCAGCUUUGGUCUUUUUUGGAAUUAAUCGGCUGCAACGUAGAAUAGCAAAGUUAGGAUUUGAUUGUUGGCUAGCUAAGCUUUUGGAAAAAUAACGGAACUUGAUGGAAAUAUAACGGAACUUAACGGUAGCGGCUGAGCCACUAUCCAUUUCGUUAAAUGCCGUUGACAGCCCUAGCUUCAUGUGUUCGGUGGUCUUAGAUAGCUAAAUGCUCAAUAUGUACAACUAGCUCCGGUACAUUUUAGAUAGACCACAUGCAUAUAGGAAGGAACAGUUAUUAAUGCAGUCCUACCUACUUGUAUCCCAAUUCCCAAUCUAUCUCUAUUUGCUUGAAUAUUUCAAACACAAAAUUGGUCAAAAAGAUCGAAACAAACAAUUUCUGGGUGAAAUAGAUUUCUAGCUUUUUAUACUGUUUAUAUAGCCAAAAAUCAAAAAUAUACUGUUGAAUUAGCCAAUUUAGAUAUUUCACCCAGAAACAAGUGAAUAAAGAAAAUAUUUUUGACUAAAAUACCCAUUACUUAGAAACGAUAUUGCACAAAAGUAUUUCCUUCUCUUUAUAUCGACAGAAACGAUAUACAACAGAGACAAAAAUUCUCUUCCAGAUCUGAGAGCUCAAUCAUGGUGAUGAACUGCUGUGAAAUCAACAUUUAAGUUAUUUCUUCUAUCAAAAUCUUUUCAUAUCUUCGAACGAUGGCUCCCAAUCUCCAAAUUCUUUGUGUGACUAUACAUUUAACCAGAUGCAAACCAGUUUCUAAAUUCUUGGAUUACCUUAGCGAAGAGCAUGCCUACUGCAAUAUUAGUCGACUACAUUCGAUUAAAAACUGAGUAUGGUGGUUAGCAUGGAAAUGGAUAAGAUAGAAGUGUUGUUGCUGAUUGAUAUUGUUGUAGCUGAGAUGAGUUACGAAGAAUGCAGGGUUGGUAUGUUGGUGCCAAGGAAAGGAAGCUAUGAUGUUAGUGUUGAUAGUGCUUCAAGUGGCCUGGUUGAGAUGAAGUUACAGUUAAGCUGAGCAAAUGGCUAGUAAAGAAGAUGGUAUGCAACUGAAAUGCCAUGAGCUUGUAAUGAAGUUGUACUCUGAUGCAGCGAUAAUGGAGAUGAGAGCGAGGGGAUCUGAUGCUGAGAAAGAUUAAGAGAAUGGGUUGCAUUCAGAUUUGGUUUUGGUCCGAGUAUGGAGAUGCAGAAUUGCAAGAAUUGGUUGAAGCAUGAAAGUGAUUGAAUCUGACCCUGAGUUGUGUUGGAUUUUGGUUGUUCUGGUAGUGCAGACUGAAUGAAUGGAUUAUGUGUGUGCUUGUAAGUUGCAGGUAACUCAGGACAUUGCAGAUGAGUUGGUGUUGUCCGAUAGUAGGAAAUGUGACUGGUUUUAUGGCCAGUUCGGGGAGGAGCAGUGAUGAGAUGGUCAGAGUAGAAAUUGCAGUUGGUAGUUAUGAAAAUAUGUUAAGGGAAAAGUGGUUUAAUGGUUAAGACGGAACUGGGGUUUUCUAUAUUAACGGAGUUCAGUUUGAAUUGGCUGGAAUGUAAAUGUUUGUGCUUGAUGGAGCAGAUAGGUUGAGGUGCAGGUGAUGAUUGAACGUGAUAUAAAAAUAUGUUUGGAAUGUUGUUAUUAUUGAAAAGUUGUACUGAAGUUGUAAGCGGCAUAUGGAUCAGUUUUUCUUUAUGUAUUUAACUGAAUAAUAACAUUAACUCUAUU
Molecule: long non-coding RNA, 2051 nt
Organism: Papaver somniferum (opium poppy)
Lineage: Eukaryota; Viridiplantae; Streptophyta; Magnoliopsida; Ranunculales; Papaveraceae
Exons: 3
Source: RefSeq, a predicted model, not a curated record